GACGAACGCUGGCGGCGUGCUUAACACAUGCAAGUCGAACGGAAAGGCCCUGCUUUUGUGGGGUGCUCGAGUGGCGAACGGGUGAGUAACACGUGAGUAACCUGCCCUUGACUUUGGGAUAACUUCAGGAAACUGGGGCUAAUACCGGAUAGGAGCUCCUGCUGCAUGGUGGGGGUUGGAAAGUUUCGGCGGUUGGGGAUGGACUCGCGGCUUAUCAGCUUGUUGGUGGGGUAGUGGCUUACCAAGGCUUUGACGGGUAGCCGGCCUGAGAGGGUGACCGGCCACAUUGGGACUGAGAUACGGCCCAGACUCCUACGGGAGGCAGCAGUGGGGAAUAUUGCACAAUGGGCGGAAGCCUGAUGCAGCAACGCCGCGUGCGGGAUGACGGCCUUCGGGUUGUAAACCGCUUUCGCCUGUGACGAAGCGUGAGUGACGGUAAUGGGUAAAGAAGCACCGGCUAACUACGUGCCAGCAGCCGCGGUGAUACGUAGGGUGCGAGCGUUGUCCGGAUUUAUUGGGCGUAAAGGGCUCGUAGGUGGUUGAUCGCGUCGGAAGUGUAAUCUUGGGGCUUAACCCUGAGCGUGCUUUCGAUACGGGUUGACUUGAGGAAGGUAGGGGAGAAUGGAAUUCCUGGUGGAGCGGUGGAAUGCGCAGAUAUCAGGAGGAACACCAGUGGCGAAGGCGGUUCUCUGGGCCUUUCCUGACGCUGAGGAGCGAAAGCGUGGGGAGCGAACAGGCUUAGAUACCCUGGUAGUCCACGCUGUAAACGGUGGGUACUAGGUGUGGGGUCCAUUCCACGGGUUCCGUGCCGUAGCUAACGCUUUAAGUACCCCGCCUGGGGAGUACGGCCGCAAGGCUAAAACUCAAAGGAAUUGACGGGGCCCCGCACAAGCGGCGGAGCAUGCGGAUUAAUUCGAUGCAACGCGUAGAACCUUACCUGGGUUUGACAUGGAUCGGGAGUACUCAGAGAUGGGUGUGCCUCUUUUGGGGUCGGUUCACAGGUGGUGCAUGGCUGUCGUCAGCUCGUGUCGUGAGAUGUUGGGUUAAGUCCCGCAACGAGCGCAGCCCUUGUUCACUGUUGCCAGCACGUUAUGGUGGGGACUCAGUGGAGACCGCCGGGGUCAACUCGGAGGAAGGUGGGGAUGACGUCAAGUCAUCAUGCCCCUUAUGUCCAGGGCUUCACGCAUGCUACAAUGGCUGGUACAGAGAGUGGCGAGCCUGUGAGGGUGAGCGAAUCUCGGAAAGCCGGUCUCAGUUCGGAUUGGGGUCUGCAACUCGACCUCAUGAAGUCGGAGUCGCUAGUAAUCGCAGAUCAGCAACGCUGCGGUGAGUACGUUCCCGGG
This 1343-nucleotide ribosomal RNA is filed under the name uncultured bacterium. RNAcentral describes it as "16S ribosomal RNA". It matches the Rfam family "Bacterial small subunit ribosomal RNA", at positions 28 to 1378 of the family's 1533-position model. The record is from RNAcentral.